Molecule: ribosomal RNA, 1260 nt
Filed under: Arthrobacter globiformis
Lineage: Bacteria; Bacillati; Actinomycetota; Actinomycetes; Micrococcales; Micrococcaceae
Description: bacterial SSU rRNA
Rfam family: Bacterial small subunit ribosomal RNA
Source: RNAcentral
GAGUAACCUGCCCUUGACUCUGGGAUAAGCCUGGGAAACUGGGUCUAAUACCGGAUAUGACUCCUCAUCGCAUGGUGGGGGGUGGAAAGCUUUUGUGGUUUUGGAUGGACUCGCGGCCUAUCAGCUUGUUGGUGAGGUAAUGGCUCACCAAGGCGACGACGGGUAGCCGGCCUGAGAGGGUGACCGGCCACACUGGGACUGAGACACGGCCCAGACUCCUACGGGAGGCAGCAGUGGGGAAUAUUGCACAAUGGGCGAAAGCCUGAUGCAGCGACGCCGCGUGAGGGAUGACGGCCUUCGGGUUGUAAACCUCUUUCAGUAGGGAAGAAGCGAAAGUGACGGUACCUGCAGAAGAAGCGCCGGCUAACUACGUGCCAGCAGCCGCGGUAAUACGUAGGGCGCAAGCGUUAUCCGGAAUUAUUGGGCGUAAAGAGCUCGUAGGCGGUUUGUCGCGUCUGCCGUGAAAGUCCGGGGCUCAACUCCGGAUCUGCGGUGGGUACGGGCAGACUAGAGUGAUGUAGGGGAGACUGGAAUUCCUGGUGUAGCGGUGAAAUGCGCAGAUAUCAGGAGGAACACCGAUGGCGAAGGCAGGUCUCUGGGCAUUAACUGACGCUGAGGAGCGAAAGCAUGGGGAGCGAACAGGAUUAGAUACCCUGGUAGUCCAUGCCGUAAACGUUGGGCACUAGGUGUGGGGGACAUUCCACGUUUUCCGCGCCGUAGCUAACGCAUUAAGUGCCCCGCCUGGGGAGUACGGCCGCAAGGCUAAAACUCAAAGGAAUUGACGGGGGCCCGCACAAGCGGCGGAGCAUGCGGAUUAAUUCGAUGCAACGCGAAGAACCUUACCAAGGCUUGACAUGGACCGGAUCGCCGCAGAAAUGUGGUUUCUCCUUUGGGGCCGGUUCACAGGUGGUGCAUGGUUGUCGUCAGCUCGUGUCGUGAGAUGUUGGGUUAAGUCCCGCAACGAGCGCAACCCUCGUUCCAUGUUGCCAGCACGUAGUGGUGGGGACUCAUGGGAGACUGCCGGGGUCAACUCGGAGGAAGGUGGGGACGACGUCAAAUCAUCAUGCCCCUUAUGUCUUGGGCUUCACGCAUGCUACAAUGGCCGGUACAAAGGGUUGCGAUACUGUGAGGUGGAGCUAAUCCCAAAAAGCCGGUCUCAGUUCGGAUUGGGGUCUGCAACUCGACCCCAUGAAGUCGGAGUCGCUAGUAAUCGCAGAUCAGCAACGGUGCGGUGAAUACGUUCCCGGGCCUUGUACACAC